AUUGAACGCUGGCGGCACGCCUUACACAUGCAAGUCGAACGGCAGCACGGGUGCUUGCACCUGGUGGCGAGUGGCGAACGGGUGAGUAAUACAUCGGAACAUGUCCUGUAGUGGGGGAUAGCCCGGCGAAAGCCGGAUUAAUACCGCAUACGAUCUACGGAUGAAAGCGGGGGACCUUCGGGCCUCGCGCUAUAGGGUUGGCCGAUGGCUGAUUAGCUAGUUGGUGGGGUAAAGGCCUACCAAGGCGACGAUCAGUAGCUGGUCUGAGAGGACGACCAGCCACACUGGGACUGAGACACGGCCCAGACUCCUACGGGAGGCAGCAGUGGGGAAUUUUGGACAAUGGGCGAAAGCCUGAUCCAGCAAUGCCGCGUGUGUGAAGGAGGCCUUCGGGUUGUAAAGCACUUUUGUCCGGAAAGAAAUCCUUGGCCCUAAUACGGUCGGGGGAUGACGGUACCGGAAGAAUAAGCACCGGCUAACUACGUG
This 486-nucleotide ribosomal RNA is filed under the name uncultured bacterium. RNAcentral's name for it is "partial 16S ribosomal RNA". It matches the Rfam family "Bacterial small subunit ribosomal RNA", at positions 30 to 507 of the family's 1533-position model. The record is from RNAcentral.